CCUAAGGUAGCGAAAUUCCUUGUCAGGUAAGUUCUGACCCGCACGAAAGGUGUAACGAUUUGGGCGCUGUCUCGGCAGCAGACUCGGUGAAAUCUUAGUACCUGUGAAAAUGCAGGUUACCCGCAACUAGACGGAAAGACCCCAUGGAGCUUUACUGCAGCCUGAUAUUGAAUUCUGGUCAUACAUGUACAGGAUAGGUGGGAGACAAAGAGACGUGCACGCCAGUGUACGAGGAGUCGACGUUGGGAUACCACUCUUGUGUGACCGGGGUUCUAACCUGGUAUCGAGAACAGGUACGGGGAGAGUGUCAGGUGGGCAGUUUGACUGGGGCGGUCGCCUCCCAAAGAGUAACGGAGGCGCCCAAAGGUACGCUCAGAUUGGAUGGAAACCAAUCGGCGAGUGCAAUUGCAGAAGCGUGCUUGACUGUGAGACAAACAAGUCGAACAGGGACGAAAGUCGGGAAUAGUGAUCCGGCGGUGCCGAAUGGAAGGGCCGUCGCUCAACGGAUAAAAGCUACCCUGGGGAUAACAGGCUGAUCUCGCCCAAGAGUUCACAUCGACGGCGAGGUUUGGCACCUCGAUGUCGGCUCAUCGCAUCCUGGAGCUGGAUUCGGUUCCAAGGGUUGGGCUGUCCGCCCAUUAAAGCGGUACGCGAGCUGGGUUCAGAACGUCGUGAGACAGUUCGGUCCCUAUCUGUUGUGGGCGAAGGAGAUCUGCGGAGAGCUGUCCUCAGUACGAGAGGACCGGGAUGGACCUACCGCUGGUGCACCGGUUGUUCCGCCAGGGGCAUAGCCGGGUAGCUAAGUAGGGAAAGGAUAAGCGCUGAAAGCAUCUAAGCACGAAGCCUACUCCAAGAUGAGAUCUCCCAUUCGCAAGAAGUAAGACCCCUUAAAGACGAUAAGGUAGAUAGGCCAGGGAUGGAAGUGCAGUGAUGUACGGAGUUGACUGGUACUAAUCGGUCGAGGACUUAAUCAG
RNAcentral lists this ribosomal RNA (974 nucleotides) under human gut metagenome. RNAcentral's name for it is "bacterial LSU rRNA". It matches the Rfam family "Bacterial large subunit ribosomal RNA", at positions 1950 to 2925 of the family's 2925-position model. The record is from RNAcentral.